GUAGGUGAACCUGCGGAAGGAUCAUUACUAGAGCAAAGGAUAGGCAGCGCCCCACAGAAGCUUGCUUCGUGGCGGGCUACCCUACUUCGGUAGGGUUUAGAGUCGUCGAACCUCUCGGAGAAGUUCGGUCCUGAACUCCACCCUUGAAUAAAUUACCUUUGUUGCUUUGGCGGGCCGCCUCGUGCCAGUGGCUUCGGCUGUUGAGUGCCCGCCAGAGGACCACAACUCUUGUUUUUAGUGAUGUCUGAGUACUAUAUAAUAGUUAAAACUUUCAACAACGGAUCUCUUGGUUCUG
This 295-nucleotide unclassified non-coding RNA is filed under the name rhizosphere metagenome. RNAcentral's name for it is "partial ribosomal RNA internal transcribed spacer region". The record is from RNAcentral.